CUACGGAGGGUGCAAGCGUUAUCCGGAAUCAUUGGGUUUAAAGGGUCCGUAGGCGGACUAUUAAGUCAGAGGUGAAAUCCCACAGCUCAACUGUGGAACUGCCUUUGAUACUGGUAGUCUUGAGUUAUAUGGAAGUAGAUAGAAUGUGUAGUGUAGCGGUGAAAUGCAUAGAUAUUGCACAGAAUACCGAUUGCGAAGGCAGUCUACUACGUAUAUACUGACGCUAAGGGACGAAAGCGUGGGGAGCGAACAGGAUUAGAAACCCUAGUAGUCC
Molecule: ribosomal RNA, 274 nt
Filed under: uncultured bacterium
Lineage: Bacteria
Description: partial 16S ribosomal RNA
Rfam family: Bacterial small subunit ribosomal RNA
Source: RNAcentral